CGAGGGGCAGCGGGGUUGUAGCAAUACAACUGCCGGCGACCGGCGCACGGGUGAGUAACACGUAUGUAACCUGCCCUCUGCAGGGGGAUAAGCGGAAGAAACUCCGUCUAAUACCGCAUAAUACAAUUUGGAGACAUCUCCGGGUUGUCAAAGGAGUGAUCCGGCAGAGGAUGGACAUGCGGCGCAUUAGCUAGUCGGCGGGGUAACGGCCCACCGAGGCUACGAUGCGUAGGGGUUCUGAGAGGAAGGUCCCCCACACUGGUACUGAGACACGGACCAGACUCCUACGGGAGGCAGCAGUGAGGAAUAUUGGUCAAUGGGCGGAAGCCUGAACCAGCCAAGUCGCGUGAGGGAAGACGGUCCUAUGGAUUGUAAACCUCUUUUGCAGGGGAGCAAGGCGCGGUACGUGUACCGCGAAGGAGAGUACCCUGAGAAAAAGCAUCGGCUAACUCCGUGCCAGCAGCCGCGGUAAUACGGAGGAUGCGAGCGUUAUCCGGAUUUAUUGGGUUUAAAGGGUGCGCAGGCGGACUGUUAAGUCAGCGGUAAAAUGUCGGUGCUCAACACCGGCCGGCCGUUGAAACUGGCAGCCUUGAGUGAGCGAGAAGUAUGCGGAAUGCGUGGUGUAGCGGUGA
RNAcentral lists this ribosomal RNA (632 nucleotides) under uncultured bacterium. RNAcentral's name for it is "bacterial SSU rRNA". It matches the Rfam family "Bacterial small subunit ribosomal RNA", at positions 63 to 684 of the family's 1533-position model. The record is from RNAcentral.